CGCGAAGAACCUUACCUAACCUUGACAUAUUUAAGAACUCCGUAGAGAUACAGAGGUGCCUUCGGGAGCUUUCUUACAGGUGCUGCACGGCUGUCGUCAGCUCGUGUCGUGAGAUGUUGGGUUAAGUCCCGCAACGAGCGCAACCCUCGUCACUAGUUACUAACGGUUCGGCCGAGGACUCUAGUGAGACUGCCUUCGCAAGGAGGAGGAAGGUGAGGACGACGUCAAGUCAUCAUGGCCCUUACGGCUAGGGCAACACACGUGCUACAAUGGCCAGGACAGUGAGACGCGAUACCGCGAGGUGGAGCAAAUCUAUAAACCUGGUCUCAGUUCGGAUUGUAGUCUGCAACUCGACUACAUGAAGCUGGAAUCACUAGUAAUUGUAGAUCAGCUAUGCUACGGUGAAUACGUUCCCGGGUCUUGUACUCACCGCCUGUCACACCAUGGGAGUUGAUUUCACCCGAAGCGGGGAAGCUAAACUGGCUACCCUCCACGGUGGAAUUAGCGACUGGGGUGAAGUCGUAACAAGGUAACCUUAAUUAAAA
RNAcentral lists this ribosomal RNA (545 nucleotides) under uncultured bacterium. RNAcentral describes it as "bacterial SSU rRNA". It matches the Rfam family "Bacterial small subunit ribosomal RNA", at positions 960 to 1511 of the family's 1533-position model. The record is from RNAcentral.